Molecule: ribosomal RNA, 434 nt
Filed under: uncultured bacterium
Lineage: Bacteria
Description: partial 16S ribosomal RNA
Rfam family: Bacterial small subunit ribosomal RNA
Source: RNAcentral
CGAACGCUGGCGGCAUGCCUAACACAUGCAAGUCGACCGAGAUCCUUCGGGGUCUAGUGGCGCACGGGUGCGUAACGCGUGGGAAUCUGCCCUUAGUUUCGUAAUAACAGUUAGAAAUUACUUCUAAUACCGGAUGAUUACUUUAAGUCCAAAGAUUUAUCGCCUGAGGAUGAGCUCGCGUAGGAUUAGCUAGUUGGUGUGGUAAAGGCGCACUAAGGCGACGAUCCUUAGCUGGUCUGAGAGGAUGAUCAGCCACACUGGGACUGAGACACGGCCCAGAAUCCUACGGAAGGCAGCAGUGGGGAAUAUUGGACAAUGGGCGCAAGCCUGAUCCAGCAAUGCCGGGUGAGUGAUGAAGGCCUUAGGGUUGUAAAGCUGUUUUACACGAGAUGAUAAUGACAGUAUCGGGAGAAUAAGCCCCGGCUAACUCCGUG